Molecule: ribosomal RNA, 460 nt
Filed under: uncultured bacterium
Lineage: Bacteria
Description: partial 16S ribosomal RNA
Rfam family: Bacterial small subunit ribosomal RNA
Source: RNAcentral
CCUACGGGAGGCAGCAGUGAGGAAUAUUGGUCAAUGGGCGCGAGCCUGAACCAGCCAAGUCGCGUGAGGGAGGACGGCCCUACGGGUUGUAAACCUCUUUUGCCGGGGCGCAACGGGCGUCACGUGUGGCGCCACUGAGAGUACCCGGAGAAAAAGCAUCGGCUAACUCCGUGCCAGAAGCCGCGGUAAUACGGAGGAUGCGAGCGUUAUCCGGAUUUAUUGGGUUUAAGGGGGUCGUAGGCGGAUCGUAAAGUCAGUGGUCAACUUGGGGGGCUCAACCCCUUCCCGCCAUUGAAACUGGCGCUCUUGAGUGGAAGAGAAGUAGGCGGAAUGCGUGGUGUAGCGGUGAAAUGCAUAGAUAUCACGCAGAACCCCGAUUGCGAAGGCAGCAUGCCGGCUUCCGACUGACGCUGAAGCACGAAAGCGUGGGGAUCGAACAGGAUUAGAUACCCGAGUAGUC